GUGGGGGAUAUUGCACAAUGGGGGAAACCCUGAUGCAGCGACGCCGCGUGAGGGAAGACGGUCUUCGGAUUGUAAACCUCUGUCUUUGGGGACGAAGGCAGACGGUACCCAAGGAGGAAGCCACGGCUAACUACGUGCCAGCAGCCGCGGUAAUACGUAGGUGGCGAGCGUUGUCCGGAAUUACUGGGUGUAAAGGGAGCGUAGGCGGGAAUGCAAGUUGAAUGUGAAAUCUAUCGGCUCAACCGAUAGCUGCGUUCAAAACUGUGUUUCUUGAGUGAAGUAGAGGCAGGCGGAAUUCCUAGUGUAGCGGUGAAAUGCGUAGAUAUUAGGAGGAACACCAGUGGCGAAGGCGGCCUGCUGGGCUUUUACUGACGCUGAGGCUCGAAAGCGUGGGUAGCAAACAGGA
Molecule: ribosomal RNA, 406 nt
Filed under: uncultured bacterium
Lineage: Bacteria
Description: bacterial SSU rRNA
Rfam family: Bacterial small subunit ribosomal RNA
Source: RNAcentral